RNAcentral lists this ribosomal RNA (815 nucleotides) under uncultured Actinomycetes bacterium. Its description in RNAcentral is "bacterial SSU rRNA". It matches the Rfam family "Bacterial small subunit ribosomal RNA", at positions 335 to 1167 of the family's 1533-position model. The record is from RNAcentral. Lineage: Bacteria; Bacillati; Actinomycetota; Actinomycetes.
ACUCCUACGGGAGGCAGCAGUGGGGAAUAUUGCGCAAUGGGCGAAAGCCUGACGCAGCGACGCCGCGUGAGGGAUGAAGGCCUUCGGGUCGUAAACCUCUUUCAGCAGGGAAGAAGCGAAAGUGACGGUACCUGCAGAAGAAGCACCGGCUAACUACGUGCCAGCAGCCGCGGUAAUACGUAGGGUGCAAGCGUUGUCCGGAAUUAUUGGGCGUAAAGAGCUCGUAGGCGGUCUGUCGCGUCUGCUGUGAAAACUCAGGGCUUAACCCUGGCUUGCAGUGGGUAGGCAGACUAGAGUGCGGUAGGGGAGACUGGAAUUCCUGGUGUAGCGGUGAAAUGCGCAGAUAUCAGGAGGAACACCGGUGGCGAAGGCGGGUCUCUGGGCCGUAACUGACGCUGAGGAGCGAAAGCAUGGGGAGCGAACAGGAUUAGAUACCCUGGUAGUCCAUGCCGUAAACGUUGGGCGCUAGGUGUGGGGCUCUUUCCACGAGUUCGUGCCGCAGCUAACGCAUUAAGCGCCCCGCCUGGGGAGUACGGCCGCAAGGCUAAAACUCAAAGGAAUUGACGGGGGCCCGCACAAGCGGCGGAGCAUGCGGAUUAAUUCGAUGCAACGCGAAGAACCUUACCAAGGCUUGACAUGGGGUGAAAACUCGCAGAGAUGCGGGGUCCGCAAGGGCGCCUCACAGGUGGUGCAUGGUUGUCGUCAGCUCGUGUCGUGAGAUGUUGGGUUAAGUCCCGCAACGAGCGCAACCCUCGUUCUAUGUUGCCAGCACGUGAUGGUGGGGACUCAUAGGAGACUGCCGGGGUCAACUCGGA